CGUUCCAAGCGCGGGGGCCUGAUACUGGUGGUUUGUCUUCUCACAGCCUCAGGAGUGUUGUGUGUGCACAGGUAACACUAAAGAUCAUGUAGAUUUUCGAACUGGGUGGGUCGCUGCCUAUCUCACCUUUAGGAUCACCUGGGGAACUUGGCAAAAAUAGUUUCCCGUCCUUGCCCUGGAGAUUCUAAUUCAGUGGGCCGGACACAGGAAUCUGCGUUAAAAAAUCUCUACUCUAAUCCUCGUUCCUUUAGGCAGCAAGGAUGGCCCAGAUUUGGAGGACCUGAUUGUUAUUGGGCAUCCGGGGCGGGGCCAGCAGGCUGUGGCUCGGAGUAACUGUGACGUUUCCGGAUCUCCAAGCGGGUAAGGGGAGCAGGCACCUGCCGCCUGCGCUCACGCCCGCGUCUGGUCUCCGAGCCAGCGGGAGUGGCCCGAAAGGAAGCCCCUGCGGGGAGAGUCAUCAUCCCUCCGGGGCCCAGUGAUCACGUAGUUCUCCGGGCCAGCUGAGGGCCCACAGACCCCAGACUCCUGGAGAGGAAUUUGGGGUGGGGUGGGAGGCGGGAGACGGCUGAGCGCAGCUGGAGAAAGGAGGCCAAGAGGUGGCAGCAGCGGCCUGCCAGCUGCCGCAGAGCCUCGGGGCCUCGCGGGGGAACGCCCUCGUCUUGGGAAGCUGAAAGGAGCCACUGGGCGUGAAGACAGACGCCUUCCAGGGGUUAGCUGGUCUGGAAGCUGCGCCAUGGUUUGUUCUCUACACAGGAUUUAUAGGGGAGCAAGACAGUGAGUUAGUGAGUGCCAGGAAAUGACAACAACAACCUUGGAGGCCACAUGAUGAAGAUGGCAGAACUUUGGUUACCCUGGGUGCCCAAUGGUGAAGAGCUCUUCUUGGCUAUUGGGAACAUUUGCCUUGCGCUGCUUUCAGAACUUCUGUCUUAGUUUGCAGUUGACUCAUCCUGAUAUGGCUGCAAGGAAGAGACUUCAUGUGGAGAUUGAAGUAGCACUCUUGACCCCAGCCCACAUGAUGAGUACGUCUGUGCACAUCCUGGACAAGACUUUGGAGCUAAAAGUGCUGACUGGUUGGUUGGAUUGUAAGCCUGGGAGAUCGGAUCUGGUUGCCCUUUCUCCUCUCGCUUCAGUGAGUCACAUACCAGGGUAGGCAGGGGACUCAAUGAGCACCAAGUGAGGUAAAUCCAGUGGAUGGUCUUCUUCUGUGCCUGCUAGGGACUUCGUGAAGAUGAAUCAAGGUUAAAUUAAGUGACAAAACCACAAGAAAUGAGGCCUCACUUCCUCUGGUUUUGAGCUGCAGGGAAACUGACAUGAAAAACAAAAUGAGGAGGUACCGCCAUGAUAGCACUGUAUGGUUUGUGAGGACAUUCGUGGUUCCUGAGUCACAGACCCUUACAAACAGCCCCCCACACUGGAUAUUGUUAUUGUCACUGCUCUGCGGUUGAGGACUCUGGAGCUCAGAGACAUGAGGUGACAUGCCCAAGGUUACCUGGUCAGUAAAUAUCAUAAUUGGAACCUGACUCCAGAUUUCUUUCUCUUAACAACCAUACUCUCAUGCCCACUUGGGAAGUUUUAAAACACUGCUACCUGCGUCCUAUGCCCACAGACUCUGACUUAAGUUAUCUAGAUUGGCCCUGACAUUGUGACUUUUAAAAGUUCAAUAUUCAGCCAAGGUGGAGAAUGAUGGCUCUGUGCUUUCCCCAGUGCAGUGGCUGAGGACUAGCUACUUCCUGACCCAGUGCUUCUCAAACUUUCAUGUGCAUAUGGAACACUGUGAAUAUUGUUUAGCAUCAGAUUCAGAUUCAGGAGGACUGGGAGGGCCUGAGGUUUUGCAUUUCUAAUAAGCUCACAGGUGAUGCUGAUGGUCCCAGAACCACUCUUUGAAUAGUAAGGUAUCUGACCAGCACACCUCCCUAACACCAACUGUACAGGGCUCUGAGUGUCAACCAACCAGUUCCCCACCUGUGCUGUUGGCCAGAUGGACUCCUGGUCCCCUCGUACCUCACCCCCCAACCAAGCUGGUAGAGACUCCGUCAGUUUGUGGGAUUGUACUUUGAGCUACAGUGCUCCUUCCCUUCCACCUCAAGAUCUGUAGCUGUGGGUCUUGGACAGGGCUUCUUUCCUGCAUCUGCUUCUGGUUCGAGGAUCUGGUGCCUCCUAGUCACUCCAUUCAUUGCUAUCAGCUCAUUUCUGAUGUGUGGAAAAGCAGGAGGGAGCCAAUGCUGUGAAGAUCAGAAAGCCUGGUGUUUGGGAUCAGAAGGAUCGAGUCUUGGCUCUGCCACUUUCUGCCUGUGUGACCUUGAGCAAGCUAUUUGCCCUCUGUAAGGGAAUGAAGAUUGUUGCCUGAUAGGUCUAUGAUGAGGUUGCAUGAGAUAAUGUAGGUACAGUGCCCAUAUCUGAGACUGGUAUGUUCAAUUAACAAUAAUUAUAUUAUUAAAGAGGUUGGAGCUAAACAUUUACUGACUGUCCAUUGUGUGCCAUAGCUUGCACUGGGUGAUUUGUAGAUAUCAUUUCGUUUGAGCCUCAGAACAAUCAUGCAAGGUACCCAUUAUUUUCUCUUUUGUACAGAGGAGGUAACUGAAAUUAGAAAGGGUAGUAAAAUACACACCUAGCAAGCUGUAGGACCAGAGCUUGCAAGUCAAUUUGCCUGCCGACAAAGCCUUUUGCAGAUCCUCUUGACAGCUGUGGCUUGUUUGACAGGAGGUGCUCCACAAACACUGGUUGGCUUAGCUGUUUGGGGAGAGGGUGAGCAGCACCCCAGAACUAGGAAGCAGCCUUACUGCUCUCCAUUUGCCCUCAGAGGACAGACUGGUAGAUAGGAGAAGGGGCUAAGAGGUAGAAGAGCCAGGUCAGGAAGUGACUUUGAUGGGCAGACACGAACAAAACAGUGCCUGCCUGGGCCUGCCCUGUAAGCCAGGCAAUGCGGGGGCCAGAGGACCUGUGUGCUUUUAUGUCCUCCUCAGGAAUGAAAAGCAAUUUUCUUUUGGUGCUCUAGAGGGUUGAGAAUGAGCUGGUGGCAACGAGUGAGAGUGCAGUGAAUGGGGAAUGAAUGAGUGAUCUCCUGGAAGAAUGGGGGCACCUUGCAGGCUCCCACCUCAGUCUGCAUGAAAAAAGAGCUUGGUGGGGCCCAUGCUGGCUACUUUCCCCUCCUACCAGAUCCCAUUGUCAUUGAUCUGUCACCAGUCUCUGCCUUUGCCACAUGUGGCACCAGGUUGUUGAUGUAAAAUGUAAAUUGCACCUCUAGUAUACCAGCUUGAUAGCAGGGAGCAUGCCGUUGAGCCUGGAAGUGACUUGAGGGGGUGGCAGCUCAGAGUCCCAAAUGACAAAACUGGUGGUGAGUGUGAGGCUUGCUUGUUCUGUGCAAAGGACUCUUGCCCAUUCCAGGCAGGGUGAGGAAGCCCUAGAGGGAGGCCUGGAGACUGAGACCAGAGACUAUAAAUGUGACUGGGCCAGAGUGAGACUGGUUCCUUGGGCCAUUGUGCCCUCCAGCCAGGCAAGUGACCCAGCAUGCUCCCCAGUGCAGGUAGGGGCAGCAUUGUCAGGCCCUGCUCUACCUGUUCCUAUCUCUUGGCACAGGCACUGAGAUGCAUCCACUUUAUAAGGGAGGAUGCAGAGCUAAGAGAAACUCAGUCAGGGUCCCCUGGCUCCCACGUGGGGUGUUGGCCGGCUUGAUUUUGCUCCAUGCCACCUGACUUUGUGCUCUUCUACCUUCAAAGCUCACAUUGAUGAAAAUUUUGCAGAUUUUAUGUAAUUACAGGAAAAAGAAACCCAUGAUGUCUGCUUCAUUAUUUAUAUAGCUGGUUUCAUAUAUUUUUGGUAGUAUUGUUAUAUUUUCACUAGUUACUAAAAUUCUUUUUCUCUGAGACUGGGGAGUAGGGACUUGGCAGAACAAGGGUCCCCUUAUUUCAUUCUUAUAAUUGCUAAAUUGAGAUCCUUUAAUUCACUUAAAGUUUUAUUUAUUUUAAACUUUCACUUUGAAUUAAUUUCCAACUUAAGGGGUACAACAAUAGUACAAAGAAUUCUCAUACAGCCUUCACCAGAUUCCCCCAAAUGUUAACAUCUUAUAUAACCUAGAAUAAAAUAACCACAAUCAGGGAAUUAGCAUUGACAUAGUAGUAUUAUCUAAUAUGUAGGCUUAAUUCAGAUUUUGCAAGUUUUCCCGUUACUGCCCCCUUCCAAGUCCAGGAUCCGAUGUAGGACCAACUGUUGCAUUUAAUUGUCUUGUCUCCUUAGUCUCCUUUCACCUGGAACAGCUCAGUUUUCAUCUGUCUGUCAAGACCUUUUUACUCUUGAAAAACACCAGCCAUUUAUCUUCUACAAUGGUCUUAAUUUGGUUUAUGUGAUGUUUCCUUCUGAUUUAAGUCCAGGUUAUGCAAUUUUUUUAAUACUCACCCAGGACAUUUUUUUUCAUUGCUUUUAGAGAGAGAGGAAGGAAAAGAGAGAAAC
Long non-coding RNA from Phyllostomus discolor (pale spear-nosed bat), 4446 nucleotides. RefSeq lists it as uncharacterized. NCBI's taxonomy places the organism in Eukaryota, Metazoa, Chordata, Mammalia, Chiroptera, Phyllostomidae. The transcript has 3 exons. The record is from RefSeq and is a predicted model, not a curated record.